RNAcentral lists this ribosomal RNA (468 nucleotides) under uncultured bacterium. RNAcentral describes it as "partial 16S ribosomal RNA". It matches the Rfam family "Bacterial small subunit ribosomal RNA", at positions 28 to 507 of the family's 1533-position model. The record is from RNAcentral.
GACGAACGCUGGCGGCGUGCUUAACACAUGCAAGUCGAACGGAAAGGCCCUGCUAUUGUGGGGUGCUCGAGUGGCGAACGGGUGAGUAACACGUGAGUAACCUGCUCUAGUUUUUGGGAUAACUUCAGGUAAGUGGGGCUAAUACCGGAUAGGAGCUCCCGUUGCAUGGAGGGGGUUGGAAAGUUUCGGCGGUUGGGGAUGGACUCGCGGCUUAUCAGCUUGUUGGUGGGGUAGUGGCUUACCAAGGCUUUGACGGGUAGCCGGCCUGAGAGGGUGACCGGCCACAUUGGGACUGAGAUACGGCCCAGACUCCUACGGGAGGCAGCAGUGGGGAAUAUUGCACAAUGGGCGGAAGCCUGAUGCAGCAACGCCGCGUGCGGGAUGACGGCCUUCGGGUUGUAAACCGCUUUCGCCUGUGACGAAGCGUGAGUGACGGUAAUGGGUAAAGAAGCACCGGCUAACUACGUG